ACGUAGGGAGCAAGCGUUAUCCGGAUUUACUGGGUGUAAAGGGCGUGUAGGCGGGCUUGUAAGCCAGAAGUGAAAUCUGGGGGCUUAACCCCCAAACUGCUUUUGGAACUGCGAGUCUUGAGUGAUGGAGAGGCAGGCGGAAUUCCCAGUGUAGCGGUGAAAUGCGUAGAUAUUGGGAGGAACACCAGUGGCGAAGGCGGCCUGCUGGACAUUAACUGACGCUGAGGCGCGAAAGCGUGGGGAGCAAACAGG
RNAcentral lists this ribosomal RNA (252 nucleotides) under uncultured bacterium. RNAcentral describes it as "partial 16S ribosomal RNA". It matches the Rfam family "Bacterial small subunit ribosomal RNA", at positions 525 to 776 of the family's 1533-position model. The record is from RNAcentral.